GCCCAAAGUCGCACGUGCCUGUGGGUGUCCGCCGAACCCUCGAAUGGUGAGGAAAUUCGGUAAGGUACCUGGAACUAACCCCUCCAGUCGCUUCUCCGGCCAACCGGAAAGAGCGAGGACAUCUUGAAGCAACGACGGUGCGGGCCUUU
RNAcentral lists this small RNA (149 nucleotides) under Rhizobium sp. EC-SD404. Its description in RNAcentral is "ar45". It matches the Rfam family "Alphaproteobacterial sRNA ar45". The record is from RNAcentral. RNAcentral also lists the same sequence under 1 other name. Lineage: Bacteria; Pseudomonadati; Pseudomonadota; Alphaproteobacteria; Hyphomicrobiales; Rhizobiaceae.